Molecule: ribosomal RNA, 804 nt
Filed under: Staphylococcus aureus
Lineage: Bacteria; Bacillati; Bacillota; Bacilli; Caryophanales; Staphylococcaceae
Description: bacterial SSU rRNA
Rfam family: Bacterial small subunit ribosomal RNA
Source: RNAcentral
AGUUUGAUCCUGGCUCAGGAUGAACGCUGGCGGCGUGCCUAAUACAUGCAAGUCGAGCGAACGGACGAGAAGCUUGCUUCUCUGAUGUUAGCGGCGGACGGGUGAGUAACACGUGGAUAACCUACCUAUAAGACUGGGAUAACUUCGGGAAACCGGAGCUAAUACCGGAUAAUAUUUUGAACCGCAUGRUUCAAAAGUGAAAGRCGGUCUUGCUGUCACUUAUAGAUGGAUCCGCGCUGCAUUAGCUAGUUGGUAAGGUAACGGCUUACCAAGGCAACGAUGCAUAGCCGACCUGAGAGGGUGAUYGGCCACACUGGAACUGAGACACGGUCCAGACUCCUACGGGAGGCAGCAGUAGGGAAUCUUCCGCAAUGGGCGAAAGCCUGACGGAGCAACGCCGCGUGAGUGAUGAAGGUCUUCGGAUCGUAAAACUCUGUUAUUAGGGAAGAACAUAUGUGUAAGUAACUGUGCACAUCUUGACGGUACCUAAUCAGAAAGCCACGGCUAACUACGUGCCAGCAGCCGCGGUAAUACGUAGGUGGCAAGCGUUAUCCGGAAUUAUUGGGCGUAAAGCGCGCGUAGGCGGUUUUUUAAGUCUGAUGUGAAAGCCCACGGCUCAACCGUGGAGGGUCAUUGGAAACUGGAAAACUUGAGUGCAGAAGAGGAAAGUGGAAUUCCAUGUGUAGCGGUGAAAUGCGCAGAGAUAUGGAGGAACACCAGUGGCGAAGGCGACUUUCUGGUCUGUAACUGACGCUGAUGUGCGAAAGCGUGGGGAUCAAACAGGAUUAGAUACCCUGGUAGUCC